UAUUUUCUUCUUCUCAGUGUAAGUGAAAUGCUUUAAGCUUCCUUUACUUUCCCUUAGUGAACU
This 63-nucleotide transfer RNA is filed under the name Aptostichus sp. RIV3. Its description in RNAcentral is "tRNA-Val". The record is from RNAcentral. Lineage: Eukaryota; Metazoa; Arthropoda; Arachnida; Araneae; Euctenizidae.